Molecule: non-coding RNA, 131 nt
Organism: Acanthosepion pharaonis
Lineage: Eukaryota; Metazoa; Mollusca; Cephalopoda; Sepiida; Sepiidae
Source: the annotation of a GenBank genome assembly
UUACGGUCACUUUACGCAGAAAACACCGGUUCCUGUAAGAUCACCGAAGUUAAGCAACGUCGAGCCUGGUCAGUAUCUAGCCUGGUCAGUAUCUAGAUUAGAGACCGCUUGGGAAUACCAGGUGCUGUAAG